This 520-nucleotide long non-coding RNA is filed under the name Brassica napus (rape). RNAcentral describes it as "long non-coding RNA (BNAP_LNC013311)". The record is from RNAcentral. Lineage: Eukaryota; Viridiplantae; Streptophyta; Magnoliopsida; Brassicales; Brassicaceae.
UACCAAACCUUCAUCUUUCAGAGGGACAAAGAUCUUAAACUUUUGUUUGUAAUAUAUUUCAGUCAACAGGCUGAUCUCUUUUGUUCUCUUCGGCGAUUUUCUAUUCGCAUAGGCGAUUCUCUUGUUCGCGUUGGCGAUUUUGAAGUAUAAAGUUCAACAAGUUGAGAACUUGAUUCUCACUCUCAUCUUUCUCUGACAUGUUGAACAUAAAUAAAACUAUGGUUGAGUUCUUCUCCUUCUGUGUUAAGUGUUAAACCGUUCGAUUGGAAAGUUAAAUUUCCUCUUUGUUAGAUAAGCUUGGAUCUUGAUUCAGAGGUGGUAUCAAGCUUCACUCGUGUCAGCUGUAGUCUCCACGAAGGUCAAGAAACAAAGUUUGGAUCAAGCUUCGGAGAUUCAGGACAUAUUCUAGAUGAGUUGGAGCUGCCAUAAGGGUUAGCGUUCCGACAAGUUUCUAUCCUUUUCUUCUAAAGCUCUUCCCUGUGAUAAAAUCUAACAAUUGGAGAAGAAGAUCUUGCGAUUG